GACGAACGCUAGCGGCGCGCCUAACACAUGCAAGUCGAACGAGCGAGAGAGAGCUUGCUUUCUCAAGCGAGUGGCGAACGGGUGAGUAACGCGUGAGGAACCUGCCUCAAAGAGGGGGACAACAGUUGGAAACGACUGCUAAUACCGCAUAAUGCAACGGAAUCGCAUGACUCUGUUGCCAAAGAUUUAUCGCUCUGAGAUGGCCUCGCGUCUGAUUAGCUGGUUGGCAGGGCAGCGGCCUACCAAGGCGACGAUCCAUAGCCGGCCUGAGAGGGUGAACGGCCACAUUGGGACUGAGACACGGCCCAG
This 309-nucleotide ribosomal RNA is filed under the name uncultured bacterium. RNAcentral's name for it is "bacterial SSU rRNA". It matches the Rfam family "Bacterial small subunit ribosomal RNA", at positions 28 to 334 of the family's 1533-position model. The record is from RNAcentral.